Molecule: long non-coding RNA, 1408 nt
Organism: Pelmatolapia mariae (spotted tilapia)
Lineage: Eukaryota; Metazoa; Chordata; Actinopteri; Cichliformes; Cichlidae
Exons: 5
Source: RefSeq, a predicted model, not a curated record
UAUGCUUAUAUCUACUAUAACUGGACCAACCUGGUGCUCUUCAUUUAUGGAGGCUGUUGAGUCUGAAUGUUGGAUGUUGUGUAUCUCGUGUUCUCUGGGCUUUGUUGUCCUCAGUCUUUUUGCAGGAUCAGAAAACAAAACCAGGAUGACCGUAAAUGUUUCUUCUCCAAUUGGAUGAUGAUAAGACCGUGACACGGUAUGCCACCUUUAGUCUUGUGAUGAAGCAAAGCUCAGGACGAAGUGUGAUUAAAUGGUACCCACAUGUGUGCUGCUGAGAAGGAUGUACAAGGGCACCUGCAGCCAAAUCCAAGCCUCCUCAGAGCAGAGCAGAAGUUUGUGCUCACAGAUGGUGACGGUGUGGAGAGAAGGUGGUGUUUCCUCAGAAGAACCAGCAGAGUCACCAAGGGCACGAGUCCAUCUCACUACCUUGACUUGCUGACUGAUGCUCGUCUGCACUGCACAGAGGAAAUCAACUGACCGAGGAGUGUUUCUGAGUGAGGGAGAGAGGAGUCGUCAUCCAGGUAAAGUGAUGUGGAUCAGUGGACACACUUGUCUCCCCUUUAAAGGAGAUACUCUUAGAGAGAGACGAUCCGAGUCAUCCCUAAAUAUGGGCAGGAUAUCAGUCUUGGACUGUCUAACCUGCCGGAGCAGCACUGAAUGACCACCACACAUGAGCAUGUUCCUGCAACAUUCAGCAGCUUUGCUUUUGUGUCAAAUGUCAAACAGCUGGAGAGGAAACUAAACCAGUGUACUGGGAUGUUUCACCAACACGUGCCAGAUGCUGUUCCUUCAUGGUGACAUCACCAGAGACAGCCCCGCCCACCUCAGGACCUCGCCAUUGAUCAUGAUGAUUAUAAUGAUGACAGCGAGCGGAACUAAGACUGUACAAAUCCACGACCAGAAUGUUUAGAUAGUUUCUAAUUAUUAAUGAAUACUGAGAGCCUCUUUCUGUGUUUUGUCUGUUUUGGGUUGUUUUUUUUUUUACUUCAUUUGUUACUGACAAAGUUCACCAAACUCACACAGUUUACAUUCUGUAUGUUUCCAUCUUUACCAGCCACACUCUACCUGCAUUUAGAAAACAAACCUUAGAAAUUGUCGUUUUUCUCUUUUGUAAUUUUGUAAUUCAGUGAAUAUACUGCGCUGCUUCCUUUUAUUGCAUCACACAUUGCUUUAAGUUUUUCAGUGUCCAGUUAUUUUUUACUGCUGUUUGAAUUCACUGUAUGUUUGACCCUGUAGACUGUUUGAUGGACUGCUUGUCUUCCUGUUUGUAACCGACGCCUGUUUUUGACUAAAGAUUUGGAUUUCUGACUUUAACACAGCCUCUGCGUGUCCUCCCUUUGUGUCCUCUUCCUCUGUGAAUGUGUUGCAUGUGUCACAGAUUCAUUUUAUUAACAGCUUUCCCACAGUG